This is a regulatory RNA element of Planomicrobium sp., 104 nucleotides long. It matches the Rfam family "SAM riboswitch aptamer (S box leader)". Rfam says of the family: The SAM riboswitch is found upstream of a number of genes which code for proteins involved in methionine or cysteine biosynthesis in Gram-positive bacteria. The SAM riboswitch acts at the level of transcription termination control. Lineage: Bacteria; Bacillati; Bacillota; Bacilli; Caryophanales; Caryophanaceae. The record is from Rfam.
CUCUUAUUAAGAGUGGUGGAGGGAAGUGCCCUAUGAAGCCCGGCAACCGUCAUGAAAAUGAAAUGGUGCCAAAUCACACAAAGUCUGACUUUGGAAGAUGAGAG